UACGGGGGGAGCAAGCGUUGUUCGGAAUCACUGGGCGUAAAGGGAGUCUAGGCGGUUUGGUAAGUGGGAUGUGAAAUGCCCGGGCUCACCCCGGGACCUGCAUCCCAAACUGCUGAGCUUGAGUACAGGAGAGGGUGGGGGAAUUCCAGGUGUAGCGGUGAAAUGCGUAGAUAUCUGGAGGAACACCGGUGGCGAAGGCGCCCACCUGGCCUGCUACUGACGCUGAAGCGCGAAAGCUAGGGGAGCAAACGGG
This 253-nucleotide ribosomal RNA is filed under the name uncultured bacterium. Its description in RNAcentral is "partial 16S ribosomal RNA". It matches the Rfam family "Bacterial small subunit ribosomal RNA", at positions 524 to 776 of the family's 1533-position model. The record is from RNAcentral.